UCUCCGUUGGUGAACCAGCGGAGGGAUCAUUAUAGAGUUUUCUAAACUCCCAACCCAUGUGAACUUACCAUUGUUGCCUCGGCAGAAGCUACCUGGUUACCUUACCUUGGAACGGCCUACCCUGUAGCGCCUUACCCUGGAACGGCCUACCCUGUAACGGCUGCCGGUGGACUACCAAACUCUUGUUAUUAUAUUGUAAUCUGAGCGUCUUAUUUUAAUAAGUCAAAACUUUCAACAACGGAUCUCUUGGUUCUGGCAUCGAUGAAGAACGCAGC
RNAcentral lists this unclassified non-coding RNA (275 nucleotides) under uncultured fungus. RNAcentral's name for it is "sequence contains ITS1, 5.8S rRNA gene". The stretch from base 227 to 275 matches the Rfam family "5.8S ribosomal RNA", at positions 1 to 49 of the family's 154-position model. Lineage: Eukaryota; Fungi. The record is from RNAcentral.